GUAAAUGUCGUAACAAGGUUUCUGUUGGUGAACCAGCGGAGGGAUCAUUG
This 50-nucleotide ribosomal RNA is filed under the name Diaporthe caulivora. Its description in RNAcentral is "partial small subunit ribosomal RNA". It matches the Rfam family "Eukaryotic small subunit ribosomal RNA", at positions 1782 to 1831 of the family's 1831-position model. The record is from RNAcentral. Lineage: Eukaryota; Fungi; Ascomycota; Sordariomycetes; Diaporthales; Diaporthaceae.